UACGGAGGGGGCUAGCGUUGUUCGGAAUCACUGGGCGUAAAGCGCACGUAGGCGGGCCAGCAAGUCAGGGGUGAAAUCCCGAGGCUCAACCUCGGAACUGCCUUUGAAACUGCUGGCCUGGAGUCCGGGAGAGGUGAGUGGAAUUCCUAGUGUAGAGGUGAAAUUCGUAGAUAUUAGGAAGAACACCAGUGGCGAAGGCGGCUCACUGGCCCGGUACUGACGCUGAGGUGCGAAAGCGUGGGGAGCAAACAGG
This 253-nucleotide unclassified non-coding RNA is filed under the name Alphaproteobacteria bacterium. RNAcentral's name for it is "contains 16S-23S intergenic spacer region". It matches the Rfam family "Bacterial small subunit ribosomal RNA", at positions 524 to 776 of the family's 1533-position model. The record is from RNAcentral. Lineage: Bacteria; Pseudomonadati; Pseudomonadota; Alphaproteobacteria.